UACGGAGGGUGCAAGCGUUGUUCGGAAUCAUUGGGCGUAAAGCGCGUGUAGGCGGCUUGGCAAGUCGGUUGUGAAAGCCCGGGGCCCAACCCCGGAACUGCAUCCGAAACUGGCUGGCUAGAGUCCCGGAGAGGAAGGCAGAAUUCCCGGUGUAGGGGUGAAAUCCGUAGAUAUCGGGAGGAAUACCAGCGGCGAAGGCGGCCUUCUGGACGGUGACUGACGCUGAGACGCGAAAGCGUGGGGAGCAAACAGG
This 253-nucleotide ribosomal RNA is filed under the name uncultured bacterium. RNAcentral describes it as "partial 16S ribosomal RNA". It matches the Rfam family "Bacterial small subunit ribosomal RNA", at positions 524 to 776 of the family's 1533-position model. The record is from RNAcentral.